Molecule: long non-coding RNA, 973 nt
Organism: Passer domesticus (house sparrow)
Lineage: Eukaryota; Metazoa; Chordata; Aves; Passeriformes; Passeridae
Exons: 2
Source: RefSeq, a predicted model, not a curated record
UGCCGCAUCCCCCGCUUCUGGCCGGCUGAACUGCCAGCACAAUCUCUGUCUCUCUCUCCGGGGGGGGCUGCCCAGACAUCUCAAAUCUCGUCAACCCCUGCAUGUUCUCCUCCACCUCUGUAGCUUUUGGGGCUCCCGGCCUCCUCCCUGUCAUGGCCUCCCCCUCCCCCACCCAGACACAGCUGGGCAGGGGAGAGGUCGGACCUUACUCACCCACGCCGGAUUCCCAAAGAGGAAGUUCUCUGGGAAUCUCCUGCUUUUAACCCCCGUGUGUUCUCAGAGGCGUAUCCAGACCCUUAGUGGCUACAUCAAAUGCCAAUUUUGAAUUUGGCCCCUGAUUGGCCGGACUUAGACUUUUCUAGAAACACAUUUCCGGCCAAACCACGACACAGUGGUAGAUGGAAAGAUAGGGGAAACCGUGGAAUUGGGGCCCUUGAACGCCAGUUGGUCAGCCCAGGCCUGUGAACUAAAGGCAGUAAUGAAGGCUUUGCAGAUGCUAAAAGGGAAAGAGGGGACGAUCUUCAUGGACUCGAAGUAUGCCUUCAGGGUAGUUCACAUGUUUGGGAAGAUAUGGGAAGAAAGGGGGCUGAUUAACACCAGAGAUCAAGGGUUGAUGCAUGAAGGGAUAAUAAAACAAAUUUUGGAGGCCGUAAGGGAACCCAAAGCAAUUGCGGUCAUUCACGUAAAAGGACACCAGGUGGGAGUACAGUUUCGGACCCGAGGAAACAACUUAGUUGAUAAGGAGGCUAGAAACACGGCAUUGCUGCAGAUACAGCAGUGUGAACUGCAGAAAGAGGCUGGACCCACGUUUCGCAAGUAAAGAGUGUCGAACCGCGAGAAAAGGAACCUGAGUGGAAAGUCACUUCUCCACCUGGGGACUCCAGGUGGAGAAGUUACCUGAAAGUAACUCUGCAUCGUAGGCCAAGUAAAUGACCAAGAACGACUGAAUAAAAUGCUCAGAGCCAGUUUGUAA